ACAGGUGCUGCAUGGCUGUCGUCAGCUCGUGUUGUGAAAUGUUGGGUUAAGUCCCGUAACGAGCACAACCCUUGUCCUUAGUUGCCAUCAUUUAGUUGGGGACUCUAAGGAGACUGCCGGUGACAAACCGGAGGAAGGCGGGGACGACGUCAAGUCAUCAUGGCCCUUACGAGUAGGGCUACACACGUGCUACAAUGGCAAGUACAGAGGGCCGCAAAGCCGCGAGGUGGAGCUAAUCUCACAAAGCUUGUCGUAGUCCGGAUUGGAGUCUGCAACUCGACUCCAUGAAGUCGGAAUCGCUAGUAAUCGUGAAUCAGAAUGUCACGGUGAAUACGUUCCCGGGCCUUGUACACACCGCCCGUCACACCAUGGGAGUGGGUUGCU
Molecule: ribosomal RNA, 384 nt
Filed under: uncultured Gammaproteobacteria bacterium
Lineage: Bacteria; Pseudomonadati; Pseudomonadota; Gammaproteobacteria
Description: bacterial SSU rRNA
Rfam family: Bacterial small subunit ribosomal RNA
Source: RNAcentral